RNAcentral lists this unclassified non-coding RNA (332 nucleotides) under soil metagenome. RNAcentral describes it as "partial contains 5.8S ribosomal RNA, internal transcribed spacer 2, and large subunit ribosomal RNA". The stretch from base 1 to 120 matches the Rfam family "5.8S ribosomal RNA", at positions 35 to 154 of the family's 154-position model. The record is from RNAcentral.
GAUGAAGAACGCAGCGAAAUGCGAUAAGUAGUGUGAAUUGCAGAAUUCAGUGAAUCAUCGAAUCUUUGAACGCACAUUGCGCCCCUUGGUAUUCCUUAGGGCAUGCCUGUUCGAGCGUCAUUUAAACCUUCAAGCUCAGCUUGGUGUUGGGUGACUGUCCGCUUCACCGCGGACUCGCCUCAAAAUUAUUGGCGGCCGGUACAUUGGCUUCGAGCGCAGCAGAAACGCGAACUCGGGCCCGUCGUAUUGGCUCCCAGAAGCUAUCUUCACGAUUUUGACCUCGGAUCAGGUAGGGAUACCCGCUGAACUUAAGCAUAUCAAUAAGCGGAGGA